RNAcentral lists this ribosomal RNA (403 nucleotides) under uncultured bacterium. Its description in RNAcentral is "bacterial SSU rRNA". It matches the Rfam family "Bacterial small subunit ribosomal RNA", at positions 29 to 423 of the family's 1533-position model. The record is from RNAcentral.
AAUCAACGCUGGCGGCGUGCCUAACACAUGCAAGUCGAGCGCGAAAGGGGAGCAAUCCCCUAGUAGAGCGGCGAACGGGUGAGUAACGCGUGGGUGAUCUACCUCCGAGUGGGGAAUAACCCCGGGAAACUGGGGCUAAUACCGCAUGACAUCCCUGAGUCACAUCGGGGAUCAAAGCCGGGGACCGCAAGGCCUGGCGUUUGGAGAUGAGCCCGCGUCCGAUUAGCUAGUUGGCGGGGUAAUGGCCCACCAAGGCUUCGAUCGGUAGCCGGCCUGAGAGGGCGGACGGCCACACUGGGACUGAGACACGGCCCAGACUCCUACGGGAGGCAGCAGUGGGGAAUUUUUCGCAAUGGGGGAAACCCUGACGAAGCAACGCCGCGUGGAGGAUGAAGGCCUCGGU